ACUGCUUGAUAAUUGGUGUUGAUGUGUUUACAUCCCUCUAACUCAGCAGUUCGGCAAAAGAGUCUAAUGGAGUAAGUACCUGGCUUAACAAAAAAAAUAAGUCCUGGGGGGUCAAUUCAUUUGACUGAAAGUUCUUCAAUAUGGUGCCGCAGUUUGAAGCUAGUAAAAGAUAUUUAUAUGAACUAGUGUGUGUGUGCAUGCAUCUAUGUUAUAUUUAUAUGGAUAUAAAUGUAUUUGGUUUACUGCAAUUUGGAUGUAUGCAAUUAUUGUAUCAGGACAAUUACCCCCCUUGGUUAAUUAAUCUCUCUCCAAUAUAUUAAGUUUUAAACCCUCAUCUGUUGUUCCUCAGGGGUUAUUGUCCAUGAGGUGAGGGGAGUAAAUGUCCUAGACUUGCACGUAUAUCUACGUCAACUGUAGCCGCAAACUGCCAGUUGUUGAAGACCUCUGUGAACGAAGGGAGGUCACUCUAAUUUCGUUACACAUCUGUCCUGAAGUUCUUAUUGAAGAGAGAAGAUUAAUUAAGACUAAAAUCUGUGAAAGAAAUCUAUUUUCCAGAGGUCGGGUUUCUAUUGUUAUAUCUAUAAUGUUUAUCAGUAAAUACUUAUUGAUUUAGCAAUGGAAUGGGGUCCCUGCUUACUGUUAUUAAAUCAAUUAGACAUAGAAUAACUAUUUUAACUGUUUUACUGCAGAAAGCAAUUUUAUAUACCAAUCUAUCUUUUCCUGAGGAAUGUCAUGUUUGAAACUAUUUUAUUGUUGAGGUAUGUCAUGUUUAUUGAGACAAUGUGACUUGUAGAAAAUACUUUUCUUUUUUUUCUGGUAAAUAUUUUGUCAUAGUUUCUGGAAUAAUCAUGAAAUUUAAUUUCGCAAUAAAAGAGUUAAAAGAAUAUAGAAUAAUUAAAAAUUAACAUGUAAAUAAAAGUAAAAAGGAAAAUAAAUAUAGGCUAGUGUUGGGAAAUUGUGUUACUCCUCCUAGAAUGUCAUUCACGAAGGAAUAUCCACUUGUUAAUUGAAAUAUAAUAUUUUAGAUAGACACUUGUAUUUUUUUUUUUGUACUAACUACUCUAUUUUUCUUGUUGCUUAUACUGCUUUAAUUCCCAGUUUGAACAGGUAUAAAUACAGAUAUAAAUAUAUUAGAUGUAUAUAAAAUGUAAAUGAAUAACUGUUUCUUUUUCUUUUUUUUUUUAUUUUGAAUCUUGUGAUAAACUGCUUGGUAAAUACUCAGGCUGCAUUUCUGUUUUUACAUGUAUAUGUGUAUAUAUGUAUGUAUGUGUGCAUGUAUAUGUAUAUAUAUAUAUAUAUAUAAUAUUGUUUGUACAGUUAGAUGUACAACUGCUGCUAGUGAGUUAAGAGCUCCAUUGUAGAGCAUUGUCGUCCACUCUACAAGUACAGUGGUGUGGUCAAUACUGUACUUAAGUAGUACUGCUGGUUAGAAUAUACACACCAAAAUGUAAGAGAAAUUAUAGUAAACACAAGUCUGUAUCAUUCGUUCCCUACGUGUGUUUCGUGUUUCACUAUUGUUGUUUAUACCCAUCCUUUACAUUGGAUGUUCAAAACUGCAAUAGGAUGCUGAGCCACAAGAAACUCUUCGUUGCAUCAUAUUACAAUGAGGCAUUUUAUCUGAGUAACAUAAUGCAAUAGAAUGUUCUGCUGAUGAUCCGUUGCCGUUCAGUAUCCAAUCGCUCUUUGAACAUCCAAUGCGGAGGUUGCAAAUAACGAUAAUGGGGAAAUAU
Molecule: long non-coding RNA, 1730 nt
Filed under: Octopus sinensis (East Asian common octopus)
Lineage: Eukaryota; Metazoa; Mollusca; Cephalopoda; Octopoda; Octopodidae
Description: uncharacterized LOC118767870
Source: RNAcentral